CCUCAGUGGAUGGCCCGCUCGGCGCUGUGUGACUCUUCUGGAACAGGCACGGUUAUUCGCUCUGUGCUGUCCGCGGCCGGGGCCACGGAGAGGUCAGCACACUGGCCGGGGCCACGCAGCACACGAGCUGGCCAGCAGCUGUGAGGUUGGUCGGGGCCUGACCCUGCCUCCUGCGCUUGUGCCCAUUCCCAGCUCGGGAAACUGAGACAGCCUCCAGGCCUCUCACCAGGGCCUGCGGAGACCCUGGUCCCGCCUCCCUCAGGGGUGUCCCCGCCCCACUCUGGGAGGUCACCCUGUCUUGGGCACACAGGCGCAAGGCCGAGGCUGGUGCUGUGUUCAGGAAGGCUCCACUGUGGGGCAGCUGAGCAUCCAGAAGGGACGGGGUGGCAGGUGAGGGCCACCAGGGAGGUGCUGGCUGUGGGGCUGGCUGAGCCAGGGCAGAGGUAGGAGGGGAGACUGCAUUCCGGGAGCGAGUGUCCAGGUGGGCCGCGUGGAGACUGCUCCCCCAAGGCACCUGUGUCUGAACUCCUGGACCAAGGGGGACAUCACCUCACAGGGGACAAGGACUUGGCAGUCCAAGUGGCUCUCAAGAGUCUUCUCCAGGACCACAGCUGGAAAGCAUCAGCCUUCCUCACGGCCCAACUCUCACAUUUGCGCAACUUCUAGAAAAGCCAGUUUGACUGUACGGACCUUCGUCAGUACCUGCUCACAUUUUUUGAAGCAUUUUUUUCGUUGGUGUGAGAUUAUCGAAUUAAAACUAGAGAGCAAUAAGCUGAAUGCCCCUGAAGUGUGUAAUUAGGUUUGGGUGUGUGUUUGGAUCCAGAAGCCCCGCUGUGUCCAUCGCACCCCAGGACAUCCCAGAAGCCAGCUGUCUACCUGUGCCCACAAAUCCUGCACGAUCGGAACCGCACAUGUGGGCUCUUUUCGGCCCGGCUUCUUUCACUCGGCUUUGUGACUUUGAGACUCACCUGUCCUUCUGUGUGCUUCUUCCCUGUUUAUUUCUGAGCAGCCCCGUGCUCCGUGAGGCAGACGUGUCACCAGAUGGGAGACGUGGUCUGCUCACGGCUUCAGCGAUUCCGAAGGAAGCUUCUUGUUCACAUCUUGGUGUGGACACACGUUUUGUUUCCUGAGUGAACAUCAAAGGGUGGGAUGGCUGGGUGGCAGGGCUGCGUAGGUUUCUGUCCUUUGUCUUUUUCUUAAUAGGAGGAGUUUUUAAUAGCAACGAAGCCCAAUUGAUCAAUUUCUAUGAUUAUUUCAUGCUUUCUGUGUUCUAAGAAAUCUUUGCCUGCCCCAAGUGAAAGGCUGUCUCCUGUGUUUCCUUGCAGAAGGUUCACGGGUUUAGAAUUCACGUUUAUGUCUAACCCAUCUGAGCUGUGUGUGUGCUGUAUGAGAGAAAGGACACGUUUUUCUCCCUAUAAGGACAUCCAGUGGAUCCAACAGUAUUUGUUGAAAAAGCUUUCUUUUCCCUUUC
Long non-coding RNA from Capra hircus (goat), 1471 nucleotides. RefSeq lists it as uncharacterized. The record is from RefSeq and is a predicted model, not a curated record. NCBI's taxonomy places the organism in Eukaryota, Metazoa, Chordata, Mammalia, Artiodactyla, Bovidae. The transcript is spliced from 2 exons.